This 3080-nucleotide long non-coding RNA is filed under the name Olea europaea subsp. europaea. Lineage: Eukaryota; Viridiplantae; Streptophyta; Magnoliopsida; Lamiales; Oleaceae. The record is from RNAcentral.
UGAANUUGGUUGUACCCUCAUUUCAUUCGUCUUUUCCCCAAUAGGCCAAGCAAAUUAUACUUUGUGUAAUAAUUAGACUUCAAAAAAUAUUAUCCUGCCUCAUUAGAUGUACAAUGGUAUGUUGCCAAUCCCAAGAGAAUGCUAACUGCUGAAGUCCACAAAAUUAAAUUUCAUUUUUCUUACUUUCCUUCCUUCAAUACAUAUCUUUUUUCAAUUGUUUUAAGCUCAUUUUACUUUUCAGUUUUUGAUACAUUGUGCUGAUUACAUCUGCUGGCAUCAUUGACCAUGAAGAGGCUAGGAGAAAGAAUGUUGGGGGAAAAAAAGUGCGCAAUCCCUGCGCACAUUAGUUUAUGAUGUAAUGUAAGUGAUCCUUACUUGAAUCAACAUAGAACUUAGAAUUGAGGAAGGGUGUUCCAUGCACUGGUUGCUUGGAGCUAAAUCUUGAUUCUUUAAAUACUAACUCUUCGUUUCUUGUCUAAGCAUUUUAUCAAAGAGCUUGUGCAGGAUAAAGAAAUUAAUUUGACAAAGUCACUUUGGCGAUUGCUUUUAUUACCUUGAUGAUUUUUGUUAUCCAAGAUUACAACUUCUGUUGCAAGUCUUCAAGGUUAUUAGGUUCAAUUUGCCAUGUAAUAAAAAUUAGGUCGUUUCGAAAUUAUUUCCUACUUUCAUAUGUUUGAUAAAAAGGUUGAGUAUCGAAUAAUUCUUUAACUUUGCGUAAGCGAGUACAUAAAAAAUGUUAUAUUAUGCACCAAAGAUUUAAGAAGUCACCAAAAAAAAAAAAAAGUGGAAAAAAUUUUAUAUAUUCUAGGAACACUAACAUUACCUUCGAAAUAACAAAGCGCGUGCAUGGCAUGGGCAAUAGAUUAGUAGUACAAUAAAGAGACCUUAACUAAUUACAAUACAAUAUCUUUAUUUUAAAUAGAAUACUACUUUUGGAGAUAAUAUAGCUCACUACACUAGAUAAAGAAAUACAAUAUAAUGAUAUAUACAAUUGGAAAAUAUCAUUUUCUUAUAUAUAUAGAAAGUGAAGAAAAAUAUAAAAAAAUAAAAACCAUUAUCAUCUCACCUACACUUAUUUCAGUUUGGACCGAGGCAUAGAUGAUAGAUAUACAUAUUAUGUGAUUAAUUGUCGCCUCAUAGAUCCCUCGCGAGAUGUUAGCCAUGGUUAACUUCUGUUCAUAGGGUUAAUCUCUAAUCUUUUGUCUUGAAGGGUAGCUUAAAUUACUUAAUGCUAGGUAGCAAAAACCUUAAAAAAAAGGUCUCCCAACCGUUUUGUGCCAGCAUUUAGUGCUAAAUGUGUAAAUUACCCUAUUCUUUAUUCUCUCCAAAUUCUUACAGAUCAACUCUAAUUAACGUGAGCCCAUUUUUCCUUUCUUUUUGUACAUAAAAUGCAGGAGGAUACUAUUAAGUGGUUCCCCGGGUAUAACUGGAAAGAGGGGAAUGGAAUCCAAGAUGAAGUUUAAGAGAGAUUCACUUAUAGAGAUGAAGAAAGGAUAAGAGAACAAAAAUAGAGUUACAAUUUAAUCAGAAUUUUAAAAUAGAUUUGAUCAGAUCGUAGAAGUAUUUCGAUAAUGUUCUAAUUUAGUAGAAGUUCAUUGGACUUGAUAAUAGAUGAUUUAUUCAUUGUAAUAUUCAACCCGUAAUUAUAUGAAUAGUCUUCAAUUAUUCAACCAAUUAAGCUUGUCUCAUAUGAAAAAUCGAGAAACACCACCAACUCAAAAUCAUAUAAAAAGACAGCAUAAUUUGGCCCUAUUAGAGUUAAAGAACUGCACAUAGAGAAUCAGAUAUGGCAUAUGCUUUGUACCUUGAAAAGUCAUCAACCAAGUUGGCCCGGAGAGUCAGUGUCGGCAAUAUCAUCAAAAAGUAAAAAAAAAAAAAAAAAAAAAAGGAAAAGUGCGUCAGAUAAUUAUUUCACUCCAUUGAAUUGCUAGUGAAGAAUAAUUACGUAGACCAAGUUAUACUGUUCAAUGGAAGUUUCAGGAAGGCAUAUAAUAGCAGCAGUUGCAAUAUCAGGAUGCAGCUUAAUCUUGGUGUCAUAUCUACGGCAGAAAAUUCUCCGGUUCUGUCCCAACCACUCUCAUGGAAAGUCGACCAUGAUUGCAGACAGAGAGAGACAUGUUUCCUCUACCAAAAAUGAAUGCUCAGCAACAGGUAUCUCCAAACCAAGACAAUAAUAUUAGAUGGGAAAUGCUACUUGUAUACGCUGGUUUACCACCUCGUUUACAGAAUACUGAGUUGACAAGAUUUUUCGGACAAAAAGACGAGGUUUAAAUAGCAUGUAAAAUCUUGCUACCUCAGCACCUGUAACUACUUCUGAUAAAAAAAAAUAUGUAAAAGUAGCAUUUUCCAUAUUAGAUUGAGCCUUUCAAUUUUCCUUUUGUGUGUAUAUGUCUUGGAUGAUCAUGUAUGGGGAGUGUAGUGAUUAGGCCUAGACGACUAUUUAUUGUUACACGUCACAAAGAUUAGCAUUGCAUAAUUUUGCAAACAUAAAUCACAUACGACGAGAUUCAAAUAUUCGCUGUAAUUCAUUAAAAUCGAAGCUAUGAAAUUGAUUUCACCAUAAUUUUUGGUUCCUUGCAUUGACGUUCAAACUUUACAGGUAAAGUUCGAAAACAAGGUUGGUUCUCGGCUAUAAAAGACGCACCAAGUGACGAUAAAUUACUGAGGAAAAGAAGUCACAUUUAGAGACACAGGAUACAAUCUGGAGUCGAGAAAAGAAAGGAAGGAUGAAUCUGCCUGAAAAUUGGAACAAUUUGUAUAAUGGGAUUAAUAGUUACCGAUCUCAGCAGGCUAUUUUAAUGAUGUAUGCUUAAGCGAAAGUAGUAAGUCCUUUGGUUUUAUAUAUAAAAGAACCCUACGCGCUCAAAUAGUCCUAUUACAUAUCUAAACUUCGUCUUAGAGAAAAUCCUAUGAUUAUAUUUCAUCAGAUGAUCAAAUACGGACAUGCUCGUCGCGCAGUGAUGGAUUGAAUGGAUGAUGAAAAGAAUUUAUAUAAAUGACUCUAAAUUCAUUAAGAAAUAAGGAUUUGUUUUGAUUUUCCGAGGUUCAAUCAGUUGAAUAUGUAUGGAAAUUGUAAGAAG